UACGUAGGUGACUAGCGUUGUCCGGAUUUACUGGGCGUAAAGAGCGCGCAGGCGGUCGUGCAAGUCGAGUGUGAAAGCCCCCGGCUCAACUGGGGAGGGUCACUCGAUACUGCUCGACUCGAAGGCGGGAGAGGGAAGUGGAAUUCCCGGUGUAGUGGUGAAAUGCGUAGAUAUCGGGAGGAACACCAGUGGCGAAGGCGACUUCCUGGCCCGUUCUUGACGCUGAGGCGCGAAAGCUAGGGGAGCAAACGGG
Molecule: ribosomal RNA, 253 nt
Filed under: uncultured bacterium
Lineage: Bacteria
Also listed under: 2 other names
Description: partial 16S ribosomal RNA
Rfam family: Bacterial small subunit ribosomal RNA
Source: RNAcentral